RNAcentral lists this ribosomal RNA (368 nucleotides) under uncultured organism. RNAcentral describes it as "bacterial SSU rRNA". It matches the Rfam family "Bacterial small subunit ribosomal RNA", at positions 526 to 896 of the family's 1533-position model. The record is from RNAcentral.
CGAAGGUGGCAAGCGUUGUUCGGAUUUACUGGGCGUACAGGGAGCGUAGGCGGUCGGAUAAGCCCUCCGUGAAAUCUCCAGGCUUAACCUGGAAAGUGCAGAGGGGACUGUUCAGCUAGAGGAUGGGAGAGGAGCGCGGAAUUCCCGGUGUAGCGGUGAAAUGCGUAGAGAUCGGGAGGAAGGCCGGUGGCGAAGGCGGCGCUCUGGAACAUUUCUGACGCUGAGGCUCGAAAGCGUGGGGAGCAAACAGGAUUAGAUACCCUGGUAGUCCACGCCUUAAACGAUGGAUACUAAGUGUCGGCGGGUUACCGCCGGUGCCGCAGCUAACGCAGUAAGUAUCCCGCCUGGGAAGUACGGCCGCAAGGUUG